This 715-nucleotide ribosomal RNA is filed under the name Salmonella enterica. RNAcentral describes it as "partial 23S ribosomal RNA". It matches the Rfam family "Bacterial large subunit ribosomal RNA", at positions 711 to 1338 of the family's 2925-position model. Lineage: Bacteria; Pseudomonadati; Pseudomonadota; Gammaproteobacteria; Enterobacterales; Enterobacteriaceae. The record is from RNAcentral. RNAcentral also lists the same sequence under 2 other names.
AGACCCGAAACCCGGUGAUCUAGCCAUGGGCAGGUUGAAGGUUGGGUAACACUAACUGGAGGACCGAACCGACUAAUGUUGAAAAAUUAGCGGAUGACCUGUGGCUGGGGGUGAAAGGCCAAUCAAACCGGGAGAUAGCUGGUUCUCCCCGAAAGCUAUUUAGGUAGCGCCUCGUGAAUUCAUCUCCGGGGGUAGAGCACUGUUUCGGCUAGGGGGCCAUCCCGGCUUACCAACCCGAUGCAAACUGCGAAUACCGGAGAAUGUUAUCACGGGAGACACACGGCGGGUGCUAACGUCCGUCGUGAAGAGGGAAACAACCCAGACCGCCAGCUAAGGUCCCAAAGUCAUGGUUAAGUGGGAAACGAUGUGGGAAGGCCCAGACAGCCAGGAUGUUGGCUUAGAAGCAGCCAUCAUUUAAAGAAAGCGUAAUAGCUCACUGGUCGAGUCGGCCUGCGCGGAAGAUGUAACGGGGCUAAACCAUGCACCGAAGCUGCGGCAGCGAACGUAUCACCCAAGACAACUUUACGGAGUUGACGAUUGACGGAGCGAAGCGACGUCAAAGCGUUCAUUAAAGUCGAGUUGGCUUAGGGAUACGUUCGUUGGGUAGGGGAGCGUUCUGUAAGCCUGUGAAGGUGUGUCGUGAGGCAUGCUGGAGGUAUCAGAAGUGCGAAUGCUGACAUAAGUAACGAUAAAGCGGGUGAAAAGCCCGCUCGCC